GCAAGAUAAAAGCAAUCACAACUCAACAAAUGAGGGUUUUGGCUGUUUAGUUUUUACUCAUUAAACAAACAUCAGUAUGAAGAAUGGAAACACAAAAGGAUUUAUGAAAUGAAGCUGUAUCUUUUAAAGGAAGAAAAACGUCUUCUGCUGACAGUAGUUCUGUAGUAGAUCUUUUCUGAGAAAAAAAUACUGGUGCUUUUUUGGAUUCGAAGGAUGCAACCAAUCUAUGCCUCUGUGUGAUAGCAGCUGCAUGCUGAGGACUUUCAAAUACACAGCCACAUAGGAUUCUGCAGGAAACUUUUUGUAGAAGGUGCAAGUGACAAAUGGAGACAAAAUAGAGUGAGUUUUGAGUUGUGAGUUGAUGCCCUCCUGUGUCAUAUAUUCAUGUCAUUGAACCGAUUUUCACAUUGGAAGUCUGGAAUCACAAUAGCCUUUCCUCUGUGUGUCAGCUGUGAACACACCUGGACUGGCAACUUUUCUUUGCUCCAUUUCUUGUUAUUCACUAGGUGGACUGUAUUCACUUGUUAUUUAAUAUUCAUCUAGGUUUUUAGUUUCUCCAUAUAUUUUUAAAUGAUGUAAAUUAUUUUUGCAGAUCUAUCAUCUAUCCAUAUCUAUUAUGUAUGUUUUGCUUUAAGAUAUCCACAAAUGGUGAAACAAAAUCUACAACAUGUUCUCUCUUGCUGAAAAUAGGAAAUUCUUUUUUUUCCCCUGACUUAUGGCUUCAGAUAAUAUGGUUUUACUUUGCUAGAUUUAAAAUUGAGUUUUUCUUAAUAAUGCCUUUUUCAAGUUAAGGAAUAAAACUAGAUUUAGCUUUAUAGGUUAAUAAUAUUUCAAUACAUUCACACCCCCAUUCAAAUACAAGCAUAAAAGAUUGAGAUUUGCAGAAUUUAAAGAAAAUUGGUUUGUUUUUGGCCUUGAAAUAAGAAUAAAAAUUGCUUUACACUAUAAUAAAAACAGACACACAAUCUUUAAGGCAUUUUAGUGUGACAUGAACUCAUUUUCCUUCCUCGUCUUGACAGCAAGAUCUUCUGCCAAACAGUGGCAGAAAAAUAUGUUUAAUUCAUUGAUUAAUUUUUAAACAUAGUAAUAAUUAAGAAAAGGCAUUUUGACACCUAAAGUCUCUAUUUUAGACAAUUAAAUUUUGCUUUAGCUAAGGGUUAUUGACUUCUGGAUGAUACUGGGAGCAACACUCCUCAGGGUUUAAACUAUUCCUGUAGGACCAUCUGUUAUUGGCAGAGCUGUGCAUCCUCUCCAGCUGAUGCAGGGUCAACCCAAGCAAAUAGUCAGGAUUAUUCAAAACACAGUCAUGGAUCCUGAUGCUCUUAAAUCUCCAGUGGAAGUCAGACAAACCAAAUAUUGGUAUAUUAUUACCUAUAUCAUAAUAAUUAAGGAGAAUAUAAGAAAGUCUCUCAAAAUAAGAGACCAUGUCUUACUCACUUAUUUCUAACAGUGAACCUGCAAUAGUGCUGAGAAUUGUGAACUUAGAGACAUUUGGUAAGUGUUGAUCUAACUUGGGAGACCUGCUGAUGUUGGAAUUACACUUUGUGUAUGUACAAUAUUUUCAACUAAAUUAUUCUAACACCAUAUAAAGAAGAGAUUGUCAUUUUUAUUCACCCUACAAUUCUCUAUCACUUCCAGACAUCUGUGGUUUCCAUUUUUCUCCCUCACUUCUUACACACCAUUAUGUCUGCCAAUCAUACAAUGUUUUCAUUUAUAUAUUUUAGAAUAUAAUCAGAAGUGGAAUGGUGAGUUAAAUAAAAGUGGUUCAGCCUCCUUCUCUUUCAAGCCUCCUCAUCCAAAAAAUUUAUUUAAACCUAUGAAGACUUUAAUUACUGUCUACUUCUAAAUAAUUAUGAUAAAUAGGUUUGCUUAGAUACCUGUUUGAUAGAAAUACAUGUUAUCGGAAGAAAUAAGUAGUAUUACAGUGACAUCCCCUUAAUAGAAUGUUCAGCUAUUCACAUAGUACACUAGAAUCCAGUAUAAAUUCUAUAAAAAGAAGCAAAAUAAUAAUGGAAUAAUGAUUAAUGCAGUGUCUAGCUACUAUGUUAAAUUUAGAAAGAUAAAUUUGGUGUCUAAUAGAUCUAUAGAAUAGUUUCAUAUUCUCAAUUCUCAAAUGUGCCUUUGAGAUUAUGUAGCCUAUUUAAUUUUUUUUCUACCUGAAGAAACAGUCUAUGAGAAAUAGUUUGAUUUAUGGAGUAAGAAAAAUGAUGUGGUGAACUACUACAUAGAAAACUGUGUAGUAUCGGUUACAUCAUUUAAAUGUACCGGGCCUUGAUUUCCUUGUCUAUAUAAUGAAUGUAGUCAUGCCUAAUCCAAAAAGUUGUCCGGAGAUUAAGUGAUUGAGUUUAUUAGUUUUUCCAUCCUUUUGUUAAGGGGUCUCCCUUCACCACUGAGAGGAGUGCCCAUGUUCACUUACUUAAUAAAUGCCCUCUUAGUUUUGUUUUUUAUGGUUUUCUUGGAUCUGAGUUUCAUUAUCUUUUUUAUAGGUAAGUCAUCAAUGUUGACCUGUUUUUCAUUUAAACCACUAUCUGAUCUUUGGUUAUUUAAGAGUUCUGAAACAGCAUCCGAACAAAGCAUAUGAAAUGUUUCAUUUUGGUCUCAGUUCCUAAUGUUUUACAUUGGCAUUAUUGCUUCAUCUGAAAGUAGUUUACCUAUUUCAUUUGCAUGUUGUGUUUUAAAAUUAUUCUCUUCCUUUUAGUAUUUGUUAUUAAUUUAGCUCUUUGUCAGUUACCCAUAGGAGCUCCACCCGUCUGGGGAUUUUCACCUUAUACAUCACUCCCAUUACAAAACAACAUAUAAGAGAGUGAAUCUGUUUCACAGUCAGUACUUAACACAGCUGGAGUCAUUUGAAACCUGCUGGUUCUUGCUUCCAAUUAUUCCAUAGACUAGAAAGCAUCCCUGUUGAAGUAAUGGCAUCCAUGGUGUAAUCAAACUAGUCAAAAUGCCCUGGAGUAUAUGAAUCAUAUUUCUGGGAUUUGCUAAAUUGAUGCCAGAGGCAUAAUAACCAACAGUUUUUACUAUGUUUUUCUUAUUUUACAAUGAUAUGCAUUUAGUUAUAAGCAAGUUUUUAUUGUCUGAAUAUAUAAAUUUAUAAUGCUUGAGUAAUAUAUGGGUGACAUAAUAAUAUCAAUGACACCCAACAAAUUAAAAAGUAAUGCAGUAUGUUUGUCUCUGAAAAGUACAUUUUAUAUAUAUAUCCUGAGCCAAAAUCCUCUACUUUUUUUUCUUAAAAAAACUAACCUUACAGGGGCAGGGGUAGUAGAAGUCAUCAAGAUAAAUUUUCUAAUUUGAAUUUGAAGCAAAUAUAAUAGAGAUUUGUAACUAAUUCAAUUAACAUUAUCAACUAAGAACUAGAGGUAGUCACAUUUCAGGUGGCUUCAUUGUGAUUUAGAAAGCAGAUAUUAAAAUUUUAACUUCUUAUUGGACUUUUCCUACCCUCUUAGUGCAUCUGAAUUGAUUUUAGAUUGUGGUUUUGUUUGAAUUCUAGUUUUGUGAAGGAUAAUGCCUCAGUUAUAAAGAGGGACUUAAAAAAAAUAGACAACAACACUUAUUAUUUGUGCUUGGAAAAGUUUAAUCAACAGAUAAAACAUGGCAAAUUGGUACCACUUUCUUUAGGCUUCUUGUUUUACACUAAGAUGUGAUUUCCCUUUUUAUAGUGUUAGGAUACUAAGAUGUGGUUUCCCAUUUUAUAAUGUCAGAGCAUGUGCAAAGUGUGGAAUAUUCUCUUGGUGGCCAGAACUCAUGGAGUUAUUUAAGGUCUAUAGCAUGCUAUAUAGAGUAGAUGUUCAAUGAAUUCUACCUAAUUCUACUAUGUGGGCAAACAUGGAGGUAAUCAUGCAAAAUUAUACUCUUCAAAAUACUGUAAUAGUAAAAAUUGGGCUUUAUCGAUUUGUUUUGAAAUAUAUAGCAUUCUCCUGAUAUCAAGUGCUAUAUAUGUAUAUACAUGCUUUAUAUAGUGAAAUGUACCUUAAGAUGAUCCUAUUUGUGUUGUCCAUAUUGGUAUCUUUUAUUAGCUUUUACAAAGGACAGUUCCAGGCCAUGUUAUGUAAAUUACAGUUCAGAUAAUGACUAAACACUCUAUGAAUAAAAUGAUAUUUCCUGCAGUGUACCUCGCCCAUCUUCCUCUAUGUUAACAGGGUUCAGUUGGUUUUCUCAUUUAGCAAUGUGAAGAUUUUUUUUGACUGCCGAACACUUACUUGGAUAUAUAUCUGACAACUAGACAAUAUCAAAACUUAC
RNAcentral lists this long non-coding RNA (4236 nucleotides) under Marmota monax (woodchuck). Lineage: Eukaryota; Metazoa; Chordata; Mammalia; Rodentia; Sciuridae. The record is from RNAcentral.